Molecule: ribosomal RNA, 506 nt
Filed under: uncultured bacterium
Lineage: Bacteria
Description: partial 16S ribosomal RNA
Rfam family: Bacterial small subunit ribosomal RNA
Source: RNAcentral
AGUGAACGCUGGCGGUAGGCCUAACACAUGCAAGUCGAACGGCAGCACAGGAGAGCUUGCUCUCUGGGUGGCGAGUGGCGGACGGGUGAGGAAUACAUCGGAAUCUACUUUUUCGUGGGGGAUAACGUAGGGAAACUUAAGCUAAUACCGCAUACGACCUACGGGUGAAGGCAGGGGAUCUUCGGACCUUGCGCGAUUGAAUGAGCCGAUGUCGGAUUAGCUAGUUGGAGAGGUAAAGGCCCACCAAGGCGACGAUCCGUAGCUGGUCUGAGAGGAUGAUCAGCCACACUGGAACUGAGACACGGUCCAGACUCCUACGGGAGGCAGCAGUGGGGAAUAUUGGACAAUGGGCGCAAGCCUGAUCCAGCCAUACCGCGUGGGUGAAGAAGGCCUUCGGGUUGUAAAGCCCUUUUGUUGGGAAAGAAAUCCAGCUGGCUAAUACCCGGUUGGGAUGACGGUACCCAAAGAAUAAGCACCGGCUAACUUCGUGCCAGCCGCCGCGGUAA